Long non-coding RNA from Canis lupus familiaris (dog), 1947 nucleotides. RefSeq lists it as uncharacterized. The record is from RefSeq and is a predicted model, not a curated record. Lineage: Eukaryota; Metazoa; Chordata; Mammalia; Carnivora; Canidae. The transcript is spliced from 3 exons.
GCCAGAGGGCUGGAAAGGAAGACUAAGGGAUUUCCCUCCUUUCUAGUGGAUACAUGAUGAUUUGUACUCAUGAAACCCUCCAGUGCAGUGCCGGGCCCUUACCUGGUGCUUAUUCCAGAUACAGAAUCACUUUUUCACACAACUCUUUAUUGAGGUCCUACUAAGUGCCCAAAUAUCUGUUAAGUGCUGAGAAUACAAUGCUGAAAAGUUUCAAGGAUUAUAUGCACAUUCAGAAUGGAAAAGCAUUUAGAAUGGAAGGGCAAUUGGAGCUUUAUGUAAUCAAGGAUGGAAGUUGGUGGCUUUAUCUACAUCCUGCACCAGCCCUAGGAGAAUCAAGAGACUCUCUUCCACAAUCUACAUUUGGAAGCCUUGUAAAUGCACUUUCUUUAUAUCUGACACAGAAAAUAUCCAACUAAAAAUCUUUGGUAAUUCUUCCAGCCUGGAUUGAUUACCCUGCACUUCACCUAAGCUCACACCAUGCUCUUCCCUGCACUCUGGGAAUUCUGUUGUCACAGGGAUUGGACACUUAGCAUAUAAUGGCUUGCAUCAGCUGGUGUCUUUAUUCUGUAUUCCCACCUGGAUGGCAAAAUCCAAGGGUAGAGACCAGGUCGUUAACUCCUCUACCUCACUCCCCACAACCUAAGGCAAGACUGCAGAGAAGGCUCUCAAAAUAUUUUACCCCUAUGUGACAUUCUUCCUCCCGGUUCUGAAAUAGCUCUGCUAAUAAUGCUUGUAUGACUGAAUCAUUAUUUUCUUUGCUCUGAAAAUAGAACACAAGUCAUUCCUGGGAUGUUAGCUUGGAGUCUGUAACUCUCAGUGAUUAAAGCUUGUUGUUUCUGAUGCUUCAGUAAAGGACACAGUCAGAGAGUGUCGCAAUGAGUCAGUCCUGGCUCUAGAGGUUCAGCCUGGUACACAUUCUGGACUCUGUGUUCACCUUCUAGAGAGCACAAGUCCUCAGACUGUCCUAUUUAUUAAUUGGAUUUGGCAAAGGGAGUUAAUUCCUUGUAAAAAAUACACAAACAAGCUAUUAAAAAUAACAUUCAAAGAAGAUGGCUAAAAAAUAAUGUGCAAAAGAAGAGGAAAUUGCUUAACUCAAAUGCAAGUUUAGAAAAAGAAUUCUAUUAAAAUGUCUUUAGGUAUUGACUGGAAACAUUGAAACGUUUAAAAAAAGAAGAGUCAGAUGUGGGAUGUGAGCUCAAUCUCCUCAGAGACUGAGUUUUUUUCUUUUUAAAGAAAAGAAAUAUAUAUAUUUCUUUAAAAAGAAUAUAUACAUAUAUAUGCAUAACUUUUAGUGAUGAAGACUAUAUAUGAUGGGAAGGUGAAGCAGGGUUUCUUAAUAGUGAAUCUUCUGACAUUUUAAGCAAAUUUUACAUACAUGUCCUUUUUCUGGAGAAAAUCCAAAGUUUUAUUUGGAUUCUCAAAGGAGGCUAUUAAUCAGAAGAGAUCUAAAAGCAUGGGUGUUUUUCCUCUCCAUUACUCUGAGCUUAACAGGAAUGAUGAAGACCCUUCCAAAUUACCUUUAUUCCAAGUACAUCUCAAGUCUCGAUGCAUUUCUCAUCUAUUUCCAAGUAAAUUUUAAAAACCUCUACCUUUAACAGUCUCAAAAUGAAAAAGAAAAAAAAUCCAUCGGUGGUAUUUAUUCAGAGGCUAAAACAUGUACCAAUCCCAUGGGCCUACGGAGCAUGACAAGGAUUUCUGGAGUUGCUCUUGAGAGCUUUGAACAUCUGGAGCCCUUGUAGAAGUAGGACUGCUAAGUUGUCAAAAAAGUGUUAGCUUUUUAGCUUGCCUGAUUAAAAAUGUAGUAUCAUUGCCCCUAUGUCCCACAGAAAUCACUAGAACUACUUAAUAGAUUCCCAUAUGGUGAAACCAUUCUCUGGGCAGUUAAUUAGGAACUGUGCCUUUCCUAGAUUCAAAGAAGGUUUCAAACUGCUCAGCACAAUAUGUCUA